UUUUAGCCCCGAUAGGAGUGGAAAUCCUUUUUAUUGUUUUUUGGGAAAGUCCUUCAACAAGUUAAGGGUGACAAAACAAUAAAAAGAUUGUAACGAUAGCGGGAAGACAA
This 110-nucleotide small RNA is filed under the name Flavobacterium sp. 102. RNAcentral's name for it is "Flavo-1 RNA". It matches the Rfam family "Flavo-1 RNA". Lineage: Bacteria; Pseudomonadati; Bacteroidota; Flavobacteriia; Flavobacteriales; Flavobacteriaceae. The record is from RNAcentral.